Molecule: unclassified non-coding RNA, 193 nt
Filed under: plant metagenome
Description: partial contains small subunit ribosomal RNA, internal transcribed spacer 1, and 5.8S ribosomal RNA
Source: RNAcentral
UUUCCGUAGGUGAACCUGCGGAAGGAUCAUUGAUGAUUACAUGGCCCUCGGGGUUGGCCUUAAAAACCCGACACACCCACACCUGUGAACCUGGCGUCCCUCGGGGCGUCCCUUUACACCGUAGCGUCUAGUCUUGAACGUGAAAAGACAGAAAUUGUAAACACAACUUUCAACAACGGAUCUCUUGGCUCUC